CAACCCCGUCAGCAUGUUAGAUAAAGGAUUUAAGUUAUAUGCUGCAUCAUAUAUACACAACUACGAAGAUUAAGCUUCUGGAUUCAUCGCCGGUGGUACUGACACAUAGCCAGUGCUCCUGUGUGGCAGGUGCUGUUAUGUGCAAUCACACAGUGGCACUGCUCUUCCAAACAGCACACUACUCACAACUCAGAGUGCCGGUUGUCCCCCUGUGCAUAGCUGCACCGAAUCUGAACAGCAAUGGCACAAGCCACGGACAGUGGGUGUGAAGCCAGGACCUAUCAACUCUAUGAUCUUCACUAAGCCGGUACCAAAUAGGAUGGCCCAGACUGGAGUACGGAGUGGAUUCUACAGAGGCAUUGUGGGUCCAUUACCAGAUCCCUGACCUGACAAGCCCCUUGUGGAAAGUGCCUUUGGGCUGGUGCAGGAGGGCAGUGUUCUGUCAUGUCAGCAGCCGGUUUUGACAACCCGGUACAUCACACUACACCGUGAUGCACCACCAACACCGCACUUGCCUCUGGAGUAUGGGUAUGACAUGAAGGAAACCCUGCUCGCUCAGACAGCCUGUGAUAUUUUCUCAAACCGCUGCGCUGAACCAGUUUCCAAAGAACAUGCUGUGUGACACAAUAAAUAUCCUUUAACCUGUUAACCUGUGGCUUCUGGAAGAAACUCGGGUGAGUCAGUCACUGCAAACACAUUUGUAUCAUCAAGUGUUUGUCAAAUGAAAAUGAUAUGUUUUUCUACACUUAGGAUAAUUUUCUAUGUUGCAGUGCAGUAAAGUGCACGUUUCUUCUGUGUUCAAUCAUACAUGUUCUAAUUGUUAUAAACAGAAAAAAUCUUUUCUUACUUAACUGCUUGAUUCUUAACUUGUUUAACUGAAACAUGAUGAAAUGUCAUAGUAUUAUUUUUUU
Molecule: long non-coding RNA, 911 nt
Organism: Oreochromis niloticus (Nile tilapia)
Lineage: Eukaryota; Metazoa; Chordata; Actinopteri; Cichliformes; Cichlidae
Exons: 4
Source: RefSeq, a predicted model, not a curated record